Anthonomus grandis grandis is the source of this 588-nucleotide long non-coding RNA. RefSeq lists it as uncharacterized. The transcript is spliced from 4 exons. The record is from RefSeq and is a predicted model, not a curated record. NCBI's taxonomy places the organism in Eukaryota, Metazoa, Arthropoda, Insecta, Coleoptera, Curculionidae.
GUUUAGUGAAGUUAAAAAAAUCUAAGCGAAGUAGAUCGUCUUCCUCUAGCUCGUCCUCAGAGAGUUCCACACAAAGGAAGAUAAUUAGAAGGUUGAAAAGAAAGUUAAGUAGGCUGUCACAACAAGUACGGAAAAUGUUUAAUGGAACUCAGUGAGUUCUAUAAUUUUAUAAUUGUGGCAAGUAGUAUCUUGAUUUGGUUUUACAUGAUCCUGAUAAUAUUUUCGGAUUACUAUGAUUUAUGGGUAGCUAUUGCGGCAAAUCUAGUAUUCUGGCCAUUUUGUUGGGCAACUUUGUACGGCUGUGAGAUGCUAGAGGACGCUAGUAGAAGCUUAUCUAAUUCCCUCUAUACUAAUGUUCCAUGGUACGUGUGGAACUUGGAGAAUUUAAGAAUUUUUUUAAUCUUGCACCAAUACACUUCUCAUAGGAUAAUUCGAACACCAAUGUUUUCAUUUAUAACUUGUAAUGUACAAAUUAUUAAAUCCGUAAGAGUUGAAAAUUCAAAAUUUUUAAUGAUUAUACAAUUUCGUUUUUAGUUUGCUAAGGGGGCUUAUACUGCUUUUAACUUUUAUCGAUCUACUAGUACAUAC